GACGAACGCUGGCGGCGUGCUUAACACAUGCAAGUCGAACGGAAAGGCCCUGCUUUUGUGGGGUGCUCGAGUGGCGAACGGGUGAGUAACACGUGAGUAACCUGCCCUUGACUUUGGGAUAACUUCAGGAAACUGGGGCUAAUACCGGAUAGGAGCUCCUGCUGCAUGGUGGGGGUUGGAAAGUUUCGGCGGUUGGGGAUGGACUCGCGGCUUAUCAGCUUGUUGGUGGGGUAGUGGCUUACCAAGGCUUUGACGGGUAGCCGGCCUGAGAGGGUGACCGGCCACAUUGGGACUGAGAUACGGCCCAGACUCCUACGGGAGGCAGCAGUGGGGAAUAUUGCACGAUGGGCGGAAGCCUGAUGCAGCAACGCCGCGUGCGGGAUGACGGCCUUCGGGUUGUAAACCGCUUUCGCCUGUGACGAAGCGUGAGUGAAGGUAAUGGGUAAAGAAGCACCGGCUAACUACGUG
RNAcentral lists this ribosomal RNA (468 nucleotides) under uncultured bacterium. RNAcentral's name for it is "partial 16S ribosomal RNA". It matches the Rfam family "Bacterial small subunit ribosomal RNA", at positions 28 to 507 of the family's 1533-position model. The record is from RNAcentral.